UGCCCCAUGGCUGAGUUGGUUACAGCGUCCGACUGUUAUAUCGCGAUCGGAAGGUCGUGAGUUCGAGCCUCACUGGGGCAG
This 81-nucleotide transfer RNA is filed under the name Amylostereum chailletii. Its description in RNAcentral is "tRNA-Asn". It matches the Rfam family "tRNA". Rfam says of the family: Transfer RNA (tRNA) molecules are approximately 80 nucleotides in length. Their secondary structure includes four short double-helical elements and three loops (D, anti-codon, and T loops). Lineage: Eukaryota; Fungi; Basidiomycota; Agaricomycetes; Russulales; Stereaceae. The record is from RNAcentral.